This 1840-nucleotide long non-coding RNA is filed under the name Homo sapiens (human). RNAcentral describes it as "PIK3CD antisense RNA 1 (PIK3CD-AS1)". Lineage: Eukaryota; Metazoa; Chordata; Mammalia; Primates; Hominidae. The record is from RNAcentral.
GCAAUUUAAGUAAAACAAGAUGAAGCAGGAACCGACUCUCACCAUCCCCACUCCCACCUCCAUGAAUUCCAUCGGACAGUUGUGCGAAAGCGGGCUGGCUUUCGCACAACCAUUGGUGGACUGUCUGUCCUGUAAGCCCCCCAGGGGCUGAUGCCCUCCCAGUCUGCCUGCCCUGUUCUUAGCACAGCCCCUGGCACCCCGUGUGAUCUCAGGAAACACUUGCUAAACAUGGUAUCGGAGGAGAAACGGAGCCCACAGCUUAGUGCAAAGACCUGGCGGCGUGGACUGAGGCUGCAGAAACGCAGAAACGCGCUUUUCCUGCCAGAAGGGGACAUCUGCGUGGUCGGGAGUACCUCUGGGGCACGUGCCCUAAUUCCAGAAACAUCUAAGCUGGAGCGCAGUGGCACUGUAAUAGCUUACUGCAACCUUGAACUCCUGGCUUCAAGUGAUCCUCCCGUCUGGGCCUCCCAAAGCACUGGGAUGACAGGUAUGAGCUACCGCUCUCAGCCACAACUGGGUUUUAAGAGCACUCCUCCAGCCCACUCCAGUGUCUUCCAUCAUUCUGUGAAAGCACCAAAAGAGGACCAAGCCCAGGAAGCCGCCAGCAGGCCUCUCACCAGCCAAGAUGGCUGGAAUCCUAAUAUCAAGAAAUGAAACUCCAGCAGGCCAUGGAAAUGCUAAGGGGUUGGCAUUUCUGCUCUAGAGAGAGCCAAAGAGAAAGCUCUAUUUAUAUCUCCUUGCGUUUGGUCGCAGCCUCAUCAACCAAAAGAACCUUCCGCCCCACUCAACACAUCAAUCAAAUUGGGGAGGGGGUGUGAACAGCAGCAGCGGGUGUUACAGAGGAGUCUCAAGGGUAUCUUAGAGGGUGCCUCUCUGAACAGUCGUCCCCUCCAAAUCCCCCCCAAGAGAAUUACUAGGACAUUCUCCUUCCCCCGCAAGCAACGGCACCCCCAGAUGAUUAAACGCGCUGGCGUCGGAAAGAGCUGGGAUCCUGGAGAAACUACUUGUAAACUGUGUGGGUUGGUGAGUUAUUUAACUUUUCUGAGCCUUCGUUUCCUUAACUGUAAAAUGAAGACAACACCACUCAGCUCCUACAGUUGUCCAGCUGAAAUCACCUAGGUAAGAACGACCAGUUCUUUGGGGAGUAAUGUCCCGAUGGUACCAUUCAAUUGUCAAGAACACCAAGGCACCGUCAGGCACCCGGGCGGUAUCCCACUCUCCUGGAAGAGAGCAGGGGGUUAGCCCUUGGUUUCAAAGUCCCUAGGGAGCAGUAAACCUUCCCCUCCGAGAGCCCUGAGAGAGGAAUAAUUGCCCCUUCCCACUCCAACCCACGGCACACCCGCCCACAUCCACGUGCGGCUGUGCCCAGCAUCUCAGAGGUAGGACUUCUCAGGAAUCGGCGGGAAGAAGCCCCCUUGAUGGAGUCUGGUGGGGUUCAAGAUCUGCAGGUCCCACCUUCCAGGGAACACCUGCACAAGUGAGACCUGCCCGAUCAGCCCCGCGCUCCAUCCGCAAACUGGGCAGAUCCCAAGGGUGCCACGCGAGGACCCUGCACCUUGGCCGCUCCAGGGCGCCCCCCACCCGCGACCCCGGAAAUCUCGCCCCUACCUGCUUCACCCUCGCCCCACCCACAGCGCACUUUUCGGGACCUCCCAGCGGCCCUUCCCCGGUUCUCUGGACCCCCGUCUCCCCGCCCUGCAACGCCCCCAUCCUGGUGCCCACGAAAGGUCGUCCCAGUUCCCCUCUUCUCUACCUCAAAGGAGGAGGUGCAAAUGAGGAAGCCUAAAUAAAAACAGGAAACUCGAUUUUUUUAAAAAGCCUCAAAAAAAAAAAAAAAAAA